UACUCUAUUGAAGAACAUGAAAUGAAAGAAGAAGACGAUGCUGACGAAGGGGAGAACCUUCCACCUGGUUCCUAUGAGAUCUUACAACUAGAAAAAGAAGAAAUCCUUGCACCGCAUGCUCAUUUCUGCACAAUAUGUGGGAAAGGGUUUAAGAGGGAUGCAAAUUUACGGAUGCAUAUGAGAGGUCAUGGGGAUGAGUACAAAACUCCUGCAGCACUUGCAAAACCCAACAAGGAAGCCAGCUCUGAGCCAGUGCUCAUUAAGAGGUAUUCCUGUCCAUUUGCCGGUUGCAGGCGGAACAAGGAUCACAAAAAGUUUCAAGCUUUGAAGACUAUUUUGUGUGUCAAAAAUCAUUAUAAGAGAACUCAUUGUGACAAGAGCUACACUUGCAGUAGAUGCAACACCAAGAAAUUCUCAGUCAUUGCAGACCUCAAAACUCAUGAGAAGCAUUGUGGCAAGGAUAGAUGGCUUUGUUCAUGUGGUACAACUUUUUCAAGGAAAGACAAGCUUUUUGGGCACAUUGCUCUCUUCCAAGGUCAUACUCCUGCUAUUCCGCGUGAUGAAACGAAAGGACUAUCUUCUGGGCCAUCUGAUAAAGGGGAAGAAAAUGAUGUAUCAAACAAGGUUGGAAGUACAAAUUAUAGUUUUGGCUCCAGUGAUGCUACUGGAAGUGGAGCUCAGAAUAUUAUGGAUGUGAAGGGGGGUGUUGAUGAUCCUGCUAGCUAUUUCUCGCCAUUGAACUUCGAUACUUGUAAUUUUGGUGG
Molecule: unclassified non-coding RNA, 764 nt
Filed under: Hevea brasiliensis (rubber tree)
Lineage: Eukaryota; Viridiplantae; Streptophyta; Magnoliopsida; Malpighiales; Euphorbiaceae
Source: RNAcentral